UGGGGAAUUUUGGACAAUGGGGGCAACCCUGAUCCAGCCAUGCCGCGUGAGUGAAGAAGGCCUUCGGGUUGUAAAGCUCUUUCGGUGGGGAAGAAAUUGCCUGGGAUAAUACCUCAGGUAGAUGACGGUACCCGCAUAAGAAGCACCGGCUAACUACGUGCCAGCAGCCGCGGUAAUACGUAGGGUGCGAGCGUUAAUCGGAAUUACUGGGCGUAAAGCGUGCGCAGGCGGUUGUAUAAGUCAGAUGUGAAAUCCCCGGGCUCAACCUGGGAACUGCAUUUGAGACUGUACGGCUAGAGUGUGGCAGAGGGGGGUAGAAUUCGACGUGUAGCAGUGAAAUGCGUAGAGAUGUGGAGGAAUACCGAUGGCGAAGGCAGCCCCCUGGGCCAAUACUGACGCUCAUGCACGAAAGCGUGGGGAGCAAACA
Molecule: ribosomal RNA, 427 nt
Filed under: uncultured prokaryote
Description: bacterial SSU rRNA
Rfam family: Bacterial small subunit ribosomal RNA
Source: RNAcentral